This 1864-nucleotide non-coding RNA is filed under the name Hygrophorus russula. Its description in RNAcentral is "small subunit ribosomal RNA". The stretch from base 1 to 1593 matches the Rfam family "Bacterial small subunit ribosomal RNA". The record is from RNAcentral. Lineage: Eukaryota; Fungi; Basidiomycota; Agaricomycetes; Agaricales; Hygrophoraceae.
AUUGGAAAGAAUUUAAUUUUGGUUCCGAUUGAACGUUUUUCAGUAGUUUUAAGACAUGCAAAUCAUUUUUCUGAAAAUCAUUUAAAUUAAAUAAAGUAGGAGUACUUAAAAAUAAUUUAAAUAUUACUAAGGAAAAGGUGUAAAGGUGAGUAUAAUAAAUAAGAUACCUUAUAGACCCCAUAAAUAGGGGAUUUUUAUAACUCAAAUCAGCUUAUUUAAAUUUAGAUAAAAUAAUUAGAAGUAAAAAGGAGAAAUAAAAAAUAAAAUUGCUAUUUUAUUAAAAAAGGAAAUUUUCCACUAUAUGAUUCUAUUUAUUUUGUUUAGGUAGUUGGAAGGGUAGAAGCCUCCCAAGCCGACGAUCAAAAGCCAAGUUUGACAGAACAGAUGGCCACAUUGGGACUGAAAUCUCCCAAGUAGUGUUAACUACCAGCAGUCAAGAAUAUUAGUCAAUGCUCGCAAGAGUGAACUAGCUAACUGAAAUCACAAUUGUGUCAAUUUGUGAUAAAGUAAGGGAAAAUAAUGAUAUUACCUUACUAUUAGUGUUGUCCAAAACUGGUGCCAGAAGACUCGGUAAGACCAGAGACGCAAACGUUAGUCGUCCUAAUCAGGCGUAAAGGGUUUGUAGGCUGCUUUAACAGUUUUAUAUUUAAAUAGCAAAAAUAAAAUAACUUAAAGCUAGAAUCAAAUAGAUGAUAUGUUAAAUAAUACUUAGAGUAGGGGCGAUAUCCUUAGAUACUAAGUGGAAUACUAAUGGCGAAAGCUUUUUUCUACUAAUGAUUGACGCUGAGAAACGAAGGUGAGGAUAGGAAAUAGGAUUAGAUACCCAGAUACCCCUCACUGUCAACGAUGAAUGGUAGUUACUAGUUUAAAUUUAAAUUGGUGGCGAUGUUAACACGUUAACCAUUCCGCCUUGCGAGUACGACUGCAAAGUUGAAACCAAAAAAAUUAGUCGGUCUCGAAGCAAACGAAGUGAAGCAUGUUAUUUAAUACGAUACCCCGCGUAAAACCUUACCAGUUCUUGCAUACAAACUUCAGUCCUUCUAUAUUUAAAUAUUAAUAUAAUAAUUAUAAAAAUUAUAAAAAUUAAUAAAUAUAUUAUAGUGAGUCUUUUAAUUAAGGAAGGAGUAUUAUAAAAAAUACUUAGAUACAGGUGUUGCAUGGCUGUCGUCAGUCCGUGCCGUGAGAAGUGAGGUUAACUCCACUAACGGACGAAAUCCCUAUUGUUAAUUUAUACUUAACAAUUAAUGAUUCUUAUAGAGUUUCAUUUGGGGCUAAGACAAGUCGUUAUGGCCCUCAUGAACUGGGCUAUAGACGUGCCACAAAAACUUUUACAAAGUGAUGCGAAACCAUUCCAUUGAACUUAUAAAUUUAAGUUAAAAAAUAUUAAGGAAAUAAGGAGGAGCUAAUCAUUAAAGAAAGUUAAAUUAUUAAAUAUUGACGGAUUGUCGUCUGCAAUUCGGCGACAUGAAGAAGGAAUUUCGAGUAAUCGUUGAUCACUAGCGCAACGGUGAAGAAAGCAUUCGUGAUGAACUAACUGUCUGUCGCUGGGAAGAAGCUUAAUUUGGAGGAAACUCCAGCGAAAUUAUAACUUUUACAUUGAUAUCACUUUUUAUUUUGAUUCUAUUAUCUUAAAUAGUUAAUUGAGUAAAUUAAUAUAAUUUAUUAAUUUUUAAAUCGAUAUAAUAAUUUGUGUAGUUUACAGCUAAAUUUAGUAUAUUAUGUGAAUAGCAUUAUAACUAAAUAUAGUCAAUUAUUAAUAAACAUCUUUGUUAAGCUAAUUAGUUUUAGUUAAUCCAUUUAAGUAACAUCUCAAAAGUCAUAGCAAGGUAGCUGUACUGGAAAGUGCUGCUGGAAAAUAAAAAAU